This 171-nucleotide unclassified non-coding RNA is filed under the name soil metagenome. RNAcentral describes it as "partial internal transcribed spacer 1". The record is from RNAcentral.
UAAUCAAGUGUUUUUAUGGCACUUUAAAAAUCCAUAUCCACCUUGUGUGCAAUGUCAUCUCUCUGGGGGCUGCCGGCUGUCAAAAGCCGUGUGGUCACCUUUGGGAUUUAUAUCUACUCAGAACUUUAGUGAUUUUGUCUGAAACAUAUUAUGAAUACUUAAUUCAAAAUA